CUUGGUGUGUUCCUCUUUGGGUUAAUUCUGUAUAGGACUCCUUGGGCUUCCUGGACUGGGGUGACUAAUUCCUUUCCCAGGUUAGGGAAGUUCUCAGCUAUUAUCUCUUCCAAUACUUUCUCUGGCCCUUUCUCUCUUCUUCUGAGACCCCUAUAAUGCAUGUAUUAGUGCACUUGGUUUUGUUCCAGAAGGCUCUUAAACUGUCCUCAUUUCCUUUCACUCUGUUUCCUUUUUUUUUUUUUUUUUUUUUUUCUGUUCAGUGGUAAUGAUUUCUACUAUUCUGUCUUCCAGGUCACUGAUCUGUUCUUAUCAUUUAGUCUACUAUUGAUUGCUUCUAGUGUAUUUUUGAUUUCAGGUAUUGUAUUCUUCAUCUCUGUUCUUCAUAUUUUU
Vicugna pacos (alpaca) is the source of this 390-nucleotide non-coding RNA. The record is from RefSeq and is a predicted model, not a curated record. Lineage: Eukaryota; Metazoa; Chordata; Mammalia; Artiodactyla; Camelidae.